UACGUAGGGGGCAAGCGUUGUCCGGAAUCAUUGGGCGUAAAGCGCGUGUAGGCGGCUCGGUAAGUCUGCUGUGAAAGUCCAGGGCUCAACCCUGGGAUGCCGGUGGAUACUGUCGAGCUCGAGUCCGGAAGAGGCGAGUGGAAUUCCUGGUGUAGCGGUGAAAUGCGCAGAUAUCAGGAGGAACACCAAUGGCGAAGGCAGCUCGCUGGGACGUGACUGACGCUGAGACGCGAAAGCGUGGGGAGCAAACAGG
RNAcentral lists this ribosomal RNA (253 nucleotides) under uncultured bacterium. Its description in RNAcentral is "partial 16S ribosomal RNA". It matches the Rfam family "Bacterial small subunit ribosomal RNA", at positions 524 to 776 of the family's 1533-position model. The record is from RNAcentral.